GCGUUACAGUAUUUUAGCAACUUCAGAAAGAUGCAAACCAUGGAUACAUGGUUUGCAUCUUUCUGAAGUUGCUAAAAUACUGUAACGC
Molecule: non-coding RNA, 88 nt
Organism: Pelobates cultripes (western spadefoot toad)
Lineage: Eukaryota; Metazoa; Chordata; Amphibia; Anura; Pelobatidae
Source: the annotation of a GenBank genome assembly